This 441-nucleotide ribosomal RNA is filed under the name uncultured Oscillospiraceae bacterium. Its description in RNAcentral is "bacterial SSU rRNA". It matches the Rfam family "Bacterial small subunit ribosomal RNA", at positions 338 to 795 of the family's 1533-position model. The record is from RNAcentral. Lineage: Bacteria; Bacillati; Bacillota; Clostridia; Eubacteriales; Oscillospiraceae.
CCUACGGGGGGCUGCAGUGGGGAAUAUUGCGCAAUGGGGGGAACCCUGACGCAGCAACGCCGCGUGAAGGAUGAAGGCCUUCGGGUUGUAAACUUCUUUGAUUGGGGAAGAAUUUUGACGGUACCCAAAAAACAAGCCACGGCUAACUACGUGCCAGCAGCCGCGGUAAUACGUAGGUGGCAAGCGUUAUCCGGAAUUACUGGGUGUAAAGGGCGUGUAGGCGGGGAUGCAAGUCAGAUGUGAAAUUCCAAGGCUUAACCUUGGCGGUGCAUCUGAAACUGUGUCUCUUGAGUACUGGAGAGGAAAGUGGAAUUCCUAGUGUAGCGGUGAAAUGCGUAGAGAUUAGGAGGAACACCAGUGGCGAAGGCGACUUUCUGGACAGUAACUGACGCUGAGGCGCGAAAGCGUGGGGAGCAAACAGGAUUAGAUACCCCUGUAGUC